RNAcentral lists this unclassified non-coding RNA (371 nucleotides) under Hevea brasiliensis (rubber tree). Lineage: Eukaryota; Viridiplantae; Streptophyta; Magnoliopsida; Malpighiales; Euphorbiaceae. The record is from RNAcentral.
GAACACUAAAAACAGAUGGAGCCCUGCCAAAAAAUAUAUUUGCACGUAAUUAUAUUGAGAAGUUAAGAUUAAGAAUUUAAUUCAAAAACAAAAGGAGAGUGAUUUGCAAAAAUAAAGGGCUGUAAAUAAACCAAGUUGCACGUGAGCUAUUCGAGGCUUGGCUUGGCUUGAUACAAGCUUAGUUCGGCUCGAUUCGAUUUCUAAAUGAGCCAAGCUCUAGCCUAAUUUUUAGGCUCGUUUAUUAAAUGAGCCAAGCUUAAGCCUAUAGAUAUUCCGUUUGUUAAGACUCGCGAGCUUGCUUAUUUAAUAGGUUCGCAAGCCAACCCGUGAACAGACUUGAGAGCUAACUUGUUUAACUAAAAUUAUUUAGU